GUUGAACUUUUCUCUUCUUUCUCCUGAGAGGUGGGUGGAGAGGCAAACCCGAGAGCUGUCUUGGCAGUGAGAGGCAGGCGUCAGGAGUAACCUGUAGCAGGUGGCAGAGUGAUGCUACAUGGUGCGGGACCAGGUGUGAAGAGGCCGCGUGCAGCUUCUGCCUCAGGCAGGCACAUGUGUCUGUGUCAGCACACACCUCAGCAGGCCCUGAGCUUGUGUGAAGAGAGAUGCCCGGCAGC
RNAcentral lists this long non-coding RNA (239 nucleotides) under Homo sapiens (human). Its description in RNAcentral is "HSALNT0060129". The record is from RNAcentral. Lineage: Eukaryota; Metazoa; Chordata; Mammalia; Primates; Hominidae.